GGUCAAGAAAGAAAGAGCAAAGGGCGAAUGCCUUGGCACUGGGCGCCGACGAAGGACGCGGUAAGCGGCGAAACGCUACGGGGAGCUGCAAGCAAGCCUUGAUCCGUAGAUAUCCGAAUGGGGCAACCCACGUCAGGAGAACCUGACGUAUCCAUGAGUGAAUUCAUAGCUGAUGGAAGGGAGACCGGGGGAACUGAAACAUCUAAGUACCCCGAGGAAGAGAAAGAAACAUCGAUUCCCCGAGUAGCGGCGAGCGAAACGGGAAGAGCCCAAACCAUAUGGUUUCGGCCAUAUGGGGUUAGGACAUUUUCAUGAGGCGUUGAGUACCGAUAGUCGAAUCGUCUGGGAAGGCGAGUCAAAGAGGGUAAGAACCCCGUAGACGAAAUUGGGAAAGACGUUGAGAAUGCUCCAGAGUACCACCGGACACGAGAAACCCGGUGGGAAUGCGGGGGGACCACCCCCCAAGGCUAAAUACGACCCAGUGACCGAUAGCGAAUAGUACCGUGAGGGAAAGGUGAAAAGAACCCCGGGAGGGGAGUGAAAGAGAACCUGAAACCCUUUGCUUACAAGCUGUGGGAGCCCAGCACUCAAUUUUGUUGAUUAGGAGGUAGACACAUGCAUUAUGUCUAUGUACUAAAGAAUGAAAAAGAGGAAAUCUAUGUCGGACAAAGCAAAGACAUUAAAGAAAGAGUUCGACAACACAACGCUGGAACCAACAAAAGCACAACAAAUCAACAAUGGACACUAGUAUAUUACGAAGCAUAUAGAAGUAGAGACGAUGCCUUGAUUCGAGAAAAGAGACUAAAACAACAUGGGCAGGCCAAAAGACAACUCAAAGAAAGAAUCAAAAGCAGUCUCAACCCUAGUGAACAAAAUUGAGUGCUGGGUGACCGCGUACUUUUUGUAGAACGGGCCAACGAGUUGCGAUUGGUAGCCAGGUUAAGUUCUUAAGGAACGGAGCCGCAGCGAAAGCGAGUCUUAAGAGGGCGACAUAGUUACCGGUUGCAGACCCGAAACCGUGCGAUCUACCCAUGGCCAGGUUGAAGCGAGAGUAAAAUCUCGUGGAGGACCGAACCAGGUGACGUUGAAAAGUCAUUGGAUGAGCUGUGGGUAG
Molecule: ribosomal RNA, 1114 nt
Filed under: Tindallia sp. MSAO_Bac2
Lineage: Bacteria; Bacillati; Bacillota; Clostridia; Peptostreptococcales; Tindalliaceae
Description: partial 23S ribosomal RNA
Rfam family: Bacterial large subunit ribosomal RNA
Source: RNAcentral